GNGUAGGGGGAUNGANUCCNUUUGUNCCGCAGCUAACNCAAAAAGUUUNCNCCUGGGGAGUACNGCCCCCANGNUGAAACUCAAAGGAAUUGACGGGGCCCGCACAAGCGGCGGAGCAUGCGGAUUAAUUCGAUGCAACGCGAAGAACCUUACCNAGGCNUGACAUGGACUGGAAAUACCUGGAAACAGGUGCCCCGCUUGCGGUCGGUUCACAGGUGGUGCAUGGUUGUCGUCAGCUCGUGUCGUGAGAUGUUGGGUUAAGUCCCGCAACGAGCGCAACCCUCGUUCUAUGUUGCCAGCGCGUUAUGGCGGGGACUCAUAGGAGACUGCCGGGGUCAACUCGGAGGAAGGUGGGGACGACGUCAAAUCAUCAUGCCCCUUAUGUCUUGGGCUUCACGCAUGCUACAAUGGCCGGUACAAAGGGUUGCGAUACUGUGAGGUGGAGCUAAUCCCAAAAAGCCGGUCUCAGUUCGGAUUGGGGUCUGCAACUCGACCCCAUGAAGUCGGAGUCGCUAGUAAUCGCAGAUCAGCAACGCUGCGGUGAAUACGUUCCCGGGCCUUGUACACACCGCCCGUCAAGUCACGAAAGUUGGUAACACCCGAAGCCGGUGGCCUAACCCCUUGUGGGAGGGAGCUGUCGAAGGUGGGACUGGCGAUUGGGACUAAGUCGUAACAANGUAACCAAGCGGAAUUCUGCAGAUAUNNUNNCCCNCCUGGNGAANAGCUCGAUGCAUGCAUCUAGAGGCCCAUCG
RNAcentral lists this ribosomal RNA (752 nucleotides) under uncultured bacterium. RNAcentral's name for it is "partial 16S ribosomal RNA". It matches the Rfam family "Bacterial small subunit ribosomal RNA", at positions 820 to 1533 of the family's 1533-position model. The record is from RNAcentral.